Cydia amplana is the source of this 236-nucleotide long non-coding RNA. RefSeq lists it as uncharacterized. The transcript has 4 exons. The record is from RefSeq and is a predicted model, not a curated record. Lineage: Eukaryota; Metazoa; Arthropoda; Insecta; Lepidoptera; Tortricidae.
CGAUCCUUGUGUCAAUCUAAAGUGACAAGCUAACUGUCAACAUGUUCAAGUCCUUCUUGGUGAUGUUCGUCGCUGUGCUGCUGAUUGGCGGUAGCCAUCAGGCACCGCAGUCAACAUCUUCAGGUGCCGGUACUGGUGGAAAUGCAGGAGGAGGAGCCCAGGCCGGCGCAGGUUUCAGCUUUGGCGCAGGGGUAGGAGGCAACGCAGGCGCGGGCGCGGGUGCGGGCGGCUCAGGU